This is a long non-coding RNA of Portunus trituberculatus (swimming crab), 328 nucleotides long. RefSeq lists it as uncharacterized. The record is from RefSeq and is a predicted model, not a curated record. The transcript has 2 exons. NCBI's taxonomy places the organism in Eukaryota, Metazoa, Arthropoda, Malacostraca, Decapoda, Portunidae.
UUGAGUUAGGUUAGGUUAGAUUAGGGUUAAGUUAGGUUAGGUUAGGUUAGGUUAGUUGCAGUGACACAAGGAAACAAAGGCCGAGAGUUUGAUUAUCCUCGAGCGCUUAGUGUGUUGACGCAAUACAAGACAAUUACCAGCACGACAUACACACACACACACACACACAUACACAGGAAUGCAUAACCAGGUAUAUUAGCAAGUUCUGAAGGAAUAUAUAAAAAAUAAAUAAAUAAAUAAAAUAAACAAAUAAACAAGCAAUAAAAAUAAUAAUAAUGAAGAGAGAGAGAGAGAGAGAGAGAGAGAGAGAGAGAGAGAGAGAGAGAGA